CAUUUUAAUGUGAUUUUUUUUUUUUGCUAAUGCACUGUGUCCUGAUAACAUCUGGUUGUAAAGCCUAAGCACGCAAUUAAAGCCUUUAUUUCCAGCUUAAAUUAAUUUUUGUAUAGGCAACCAGGGAGGAAGGCUCUCCUCUGCGACACGUGAAAAGUCCAGCUGAUGUCCAUUCUCCCCUGUGCAAGUCAUUAGCACACAGAGCCACCAAUGUCAAGUCCUUCCACUGACCACACACCAGAUCAUCAAGAAUCCAGGAACUCCUUGCAGCCAGGACUCUAUCUCAGUGACCUCCAUGCCCCAGGUCUAUGUUUCUCCCUCUAAUGUGCAUCUGAAUCAGCUGAGGAUUCAGUGGGUCUGGGGAAGAGCCUGAAAUGUGGAAUUUCUAGCAGAUGCUGCUGGCCUCAGGCCUGAGCACAAUGCCUGGACUUGCAAAAUGCAGAUGCUUGGAAAACGUUUGUGUGUG
This 466-nucleotide long non-coding RNA is filed under the name Felis catus (domestic cat). RNAcentral's name for it is "lncRNA (ENSFCAG00000047993.1)". The record is from RNAcentral. Lineage: Eukaryota; Metazoa; Chordata; Mammalia; Carnivora; Felidae.